CCUACGGGCGGCAGCAGUGAGGAAUAUUCGUCAAUGGACGAGAGUCUGAACCAGCCAAGCAGCGUGAAGGAUGACUGCCCUAUGGGUUGUAAACUUCUUUUAUAUGGGAAUACAAUGUUACACGUGUGGGAUUUUGUAUGUACCAUAUGUAUUAGGAUCGGCAAACCUCGUGCCAGGAGCCGCGGUAAUACGGAGGAUCCGAACGUUGCCCGGAUUUAUUGGGUUUAAAGGGAGCGUUAGUGGGUUGUUAAGUCAGUUGUGAAAGUUUGCGGCUCAACCGUAAGAUUGCAGUUGAUACUAGCAGUCUUGAGUACAGUAGAGGUGAGCGGAAUUCGUGGUGUAGCGGUGAAAUGCUUAGAUAUAACGAAGAACUCCGAUUGCGAAGGCAGCUCACUGGACUGCAACUGACACUGAGGGUCGAAAGUGUGGGUAUCAAACAGGAUUAGAUACCCCUGUAGUC
Molecule: ribosomal RNA, 460 nt
Filed under: uncultured bacterium
Lineage: Bacteria
Description: partial 16S ribosomal RNA
Rfam family: Bacterial small subunit ribosomal RNA
Source: RNAcentral